RNAcentral lists this ribosomal RNA (240 nucleotides) under uncultured bacterium. RNAcentral's name for it is "partial 16S ribosomal RNA". It matches the Rfam family "Bacterial small subunit ribosomal RNA", at positions 559 to 793 of the family's 1533-position model. The record is from RNAcentral.
CGUAAAGCGCAUGCAGGCGGCCUGUUAAGUCAGAUGUGAAAGCCCGGGGCGUUAACCUCGGAAAUUGCAUUUGAAACUGGCAGGCUAGAGUCUUGUAGAGGGGGGUAGGAAGUUUCAGGUGUAGCGGUGAAAUGCGUAGAGAUCUGAAGGAAUACCAGUGGCGAAGGCGGCCCCCUCGGACAAAGACUGACGCUCAGAUGCGAAAGCGUGAGGAGCAAACAGGAUUAGAUACCCUGGUAG